GUGUGUGUGUGCUGGAUGAUGGGUGUGUGAGUGCUGGAUGAUGGGUGUGUGAGUGCUGGAUGAUGGGUGUGUGUGUGCUGGAUGAUGGGUGUGUGUGUGCUGGAUGAUGGGUGUGUGAGUGCUGGAUGAUGGGUGUGUGAGUGCUGGAUUGUGGGUGUGUGAGUGCUGGAUGAUGGGUGUGUGAGUGCUGGAUUGUGUGUGUGUGUGCUGGAUGAUGGGUGUGUGAGUGCUGGAUGAUGGGUGUGUGAGUGCUGGAUGAUGUGAGUGUGUGUGCUGGAUGAUGUGUGUGUGUGUGCUGGAUGAUAGGUGUGUGUGUGCUGGAUGAUGGGUGUGUGAGUGCUGGAUGAUGGGUGUGUGUGUGCUGGAUGAUGGGUGUGUGUGUGUGUGCUGGAUGAUGGGUGUGUGUGUGUGUGCUGGAUGAUGGGUGUGUGAGUGCUGGAUGAUGGGUGUGUGUGUGCUGGAUGAUGGGUGUGUGAGUGCUGGAU
Non-coding RNA from Pelobates cultripes (western spadefoot toad), 485 nucleotides. NCBI's taxonomy places the organism in Eukaryota, Metazoa, Chordata, Amphibia, Anura, Pelobatidae. The record is from the annotation of a GenBank genome assembly.